Molecule: ribosomal RNA, 262 nt
Filed under: uncultured bacterium
Lineage: Bacteria
Description: partial 16S ribosomal RNA
Rfam family: Bacterial small subunit ribosomal RNA
Source: RNAcentral
GUCCACGCCCUAAACGAUGGGUACUAGACGUCGGGAAGCUUGUCUUCUUGGUGUCGCAGCUAACGCAAUAAGUACCCCGCCUGGGGAGUACGGUCGCAAGAUUAAAACUCAAAGGAAUUGACGGGGCCCGCACAAGCGGUGGAGCAUGUGGUUCAAUUCGAUGCAACGCGAAAACCUUAACCUGCCCUUGACAUCUGGGGAAUCCUGCAGAGAUGCGGGAGUGCCGCAAGGAACCCCAAGACAGGUGCUGCAUUGCUGUCGU